GUUGAUUUAAUAUGUUAUUUGAAUUUUCACUUUUAGAUAGAACACUGAAUAUAGCCAUGCUGUAGGAGAUCUCCUCUGGAUGCCAAGAUCAAUAUUACAUCAAGCCUAUGAACCUGUUUUGGAGUUACAGAACCCAUAAAUAUUUGGAGUGUAACGAAUUUCCAACAUAAAAUAUUUUUAAAAAACUUCAAUCAAUGUCUGUUUCAAAAAAGAUUCACUUGGAAUGAGGUGAGGAAGAGACAAAACCAAUGGAUCCUCAGGUGGCAAAUAUGAUAAGGAACAUCACUGGCUUUUGGAUAAUAUCACAUAUAUAUUGUUCAUUCAUGUUUUUCGAAAUGAGACAAAGACUAAAGAAAAACGCUUUUAUGUGGCACAUGCAUGGGAUCCUGUCAGUGACUUAUUCAAUGGAAGUGUGUGUUUGUAUUUGUUAUUUGUGGACAAAGCACAGUUGUCCAGGAUUUAUUCUCAAGAAAGAUUGGGUGAACUGGUGUUCUUGGAUCCUCAUUUUGACCUUCUACAUGCUCAUAAUAAUGAUUGUUUUGAAAUUUUCCUCUAAAUAUAUUUCCUUUUAUUUAAUGAUACUGCUCUUUUCAGAGAAUUUCACCAAUACUGAGCACAUUAUCUUUUCGAUUUCUAUAUUUAGGGUAUUUUUUACAUGGUUUUUUUCCCUUAUUAUUUAAAAAAUUCUCUAGGCUUCUCAGAAAUAAGGAGCUCUGUCCCAACCUUUCUGUGCAACUCUGAGCCUUGGUUUUGAGCACAAAGGUCUCUGUUUGCAGAGGGAACUUUGACUGCUCUGUUCAGGAAACAGCCUAGUUUCACAGAGUUUGCCUUCUGAGCUGGGACUGGAAGCUGCCCCACUGAUUUGUUCUUAGAUUGAGGCAGGGCAGAGCGCCUUCAGUGUGAUUUGCUGUGAUUAAGAUCCUCUCACCAAACUUUCCCACAGUCUAUCUGAACUGGUCUGAACACACUUUUCACCCCAAUGAGACUGACUUUUUUUGAACUUUUUUUCAGUCUGUGUUGAGCUGGAAAGUAGGUUCAUUCCAUCAGACUCUGUUCAGAGGCUUGGUUUCAUGGGAUUUUCCAGGGAAACUGGGAGAACUGGAGCAGCUCCCUGAUUUUAUUCCACCAUCUUGGCUCCACCUCAGAAGUCUUUUUUUCCUAUUCUUAUUUAAAGGUUUAAGUUCCAAAUUCUGUCCCUCUUUUCCUUCUCUCCCCUCCCCAAGAUUGUAAGCAGUCAGAUAUAGUUUAUACAUGUGCAAUUAUGUAAGACUUCCAUAUUCGUCAUUUUAUACAAGAAGACUCAAAUGAAAGAAAAAAAGCAAUAAAGAGAUAAAUACCAUGUUUCACCCUGAA
Long non-coding RNA from Sarcophilus harrisii (Tasmanian devil), 1353 nucleotides. RefSeq lists it as uncharacterized. The transcript has 5 exons. The record is from RefSeq and is a predicted model, not a curated record. Lineage: Eukaryota; Metazoa; Chordata; Mammalia; Dasyuromorphia; Dasyuridae.